GGAGGCGGAGGGGAGCGGCGGGGGCGCCUCACCCCACCCAGGCCCCGGCAGCAAGCGGCGAACCGCGGCCUGCGAGUGGGAGGCGCCGCCCCCCCCGAAGCAGCGGCUGCCGGAGGCGGUGGCGGCCGCUCGGCUCCGGGUGCUCGGGGCUCAGCACGACCACGGCUACAGCGGGAACGGGCUCCCCCCGAGGCCCCACAUCCCCUGAGGCUGCUGCUGCCCCACAACUGCCCCUCCCCCAAUAAACACGGGCCCCUCCCCCACCGCGUCCAGCUGCUACUUGUGGGGCUGAGACCCACAUGGGGGGGGAGGGACCCCCCUGCCCCAUAGACCGCUCCCCCCACCCCCCCGAUACCUACCCAUAAUCACCCCAUAGCUGCCCCAUAAGUGCCCCACACACCCCUUAAGCCCCUCCCCCACCCCACAGACCCCUCUCCCCCUUUGCCCCUCCCCCACCCCCCAAAUUAACAGAAAAUUUAUUUUUU
This 485-nucleotide long non-coding RNA is filed under the name Strigops habroptila (Kakapo). RNAcentral describes it as "lncRNA (ENSSHBG00005018423.1)". The record is from RNAcentral. Lineage: Eukaryota; Metazoa; Chordata; Aves; Psittaciformes; Psittacidae.